AGAGUUUGAUCCUGGCUCAGGACGAACGCUGGCGGCGUGCCUAACACAUGCAGGUCGAGCGGGCCUGUCAAGGCGUUAUGUUUUGGCAGGUUUAGCGGCGGACGGGUGAGUAACGCGUGAGCAACCUGCCCUUGAGACCGGGAUAACCCUGGGAAACUGGGGCUAAUACCGGAUACGCUCCCUCUAGGGCAUCCUGGAGGGAGGAAAGGUAGCGCAAGCUGCCGCUCAAGGAUGGGCCCGCGUCCCAUCAGCUAGUUGGUGAGGUAACGGCUCACCAAGGCGACGACGGGUAGCCGGCCUGAGAGGGUGGUCGGCCACACUGGGACUGAGACACGGCCCAGACUCCUACGGGAGGCAGCAGUGGGGAAUCUUGGGCAAUGGGCGAAAGCCUGACCCAGCGACGCCGCGUGGGGGAUGA
RNAcentral lists this ribosomal RNA (418 nucleotides) under uncultured bacterium. Its description in RNAcentral is "bacterial SSU rRNA". It matches the Rfam family "Bacterial small subunit ribosomal RNA", at positions 8 to 411 of the family's 1533-position model. The record is from RNAcentral.